GCUGUAGUCGCAGGCCGGGUUGAUGAGCGUCAGCUCUGCUGCUGUUUUGCUUUUCUGUUGCGCAGUGUCAAUAGGGGCGACCGAAAAUUAGAAUUGCUAGCUCAAGGACAGGUGCGUUUUCAAAAUUGCGCUGGUGCCCGACGCUGUAUUGAGCGUUUUGCGUGUUUACAUGCCCAUUAGCGAGGCAGCCGAGGUACCGCGGCAUCCCUGAUCAGGCACUUUUUUUUUUUUUUUUUGGUCUUUGACAAUCUCAUCAGUGAAAAUGUCUAUAUUAGUGUGGACUCAGUUUGCAACUUCAUUAUAUUGAAGAAGGUUGAAUCUCUUCGUAUGUUUUACAGCCACUUAUAUUUUGUUUUCCAGGAAUUCUCUUCAUGACCUUUACUCAUUUUUUUUUUUACAUAAGUUAUUGAAAUUUUUUUCCCUAUUGAUGAAAUUGGCUUUGUUGCUGGCAGGCGUUGCAACUCUUUUUGACUUUGUUUAUGAUAUUUUCUUCCAUGUAGGUUUUUAAUGCCAAAUGAAUCUCUAUUUUCAUGACUUCAGGAGUUUGCUCCCCACAUAAGAUUUUCAGUAGCUUUAAAGCUCAGGCUGGUGUCUGGGACCUAGAGUUGCUGCUCUUUGGAAGACUGACGCAGGAGGAAGAGCUCAAGGCCAGCCUGAAGUUUCUGGUUUUCAGGACAAGAACCAAGAAUAACGAAACACUUUAAAAACGGCUGUUUCACAACACAGACUCCAUCCCUUGAAAUGUUAUUUUCCAACUGCCUCAAGUGGUUUCUACUUCCGCUGCUGCAUGCCCAUGAUACAAUGCUCCCAAGGCAAUUAGAAUGAUGAUCUUAGUCUUGGGGUUUGGUGUCGAAGGAUGAUGAGACAGCCAUUCAAUACGUGAGCAGAAAAAGCCAAAACAAGGUUUUGUGCCCUCCCGGAAGGAGGGGCUAUGUCAGUAGGCACAGUCUCACCCAGUGGAGCAGGCUGUUGAUCCUGCGUGCAUUGGGGAAGAAUGGGUCCAGGGAUAGGGAAUGCAUUUCAGAGGCAAAAAGAUUUGACACCAUCUGUAGAAGAGUGGAUUGUUGUUAACUCUCCAAUGAAUUUAUUGGAGAGUAUCUGUGAUUAGCUGGCGUUUGGGGGGGCGUGGCUUUGCAAAACCAGAUUCUAG
Molecule: long non-coding RNA, 1150 nt
Filed under: Marmota monax (woodchuck)
Lineage: Eukaryota; Metazoa; Chordata; Mammalia; Rodentia; Sciuridae
Source: RNAcentral